Molecule: non-coding RNA, 27 nt
Filed under: Mus musculus (house mouse)
Lineage: Eukaryota; Metazoa; Chordata; Mammalia; Rodentia; Muridae
Source: RNAcentral
CGCACAUGGUCACUUCUGAUCCAUGGG